GGCGAACAUUGGUGUAAGUGACCAUGGUGCCUUCUGGGCAGGACCAAUGGGACGACGCGGAGUCCAGGAUGAUCGGAGCAAGGAAGCAGCCGGGAGCCGGAAACGGGAAACGUGGUGGAAAUUGAAAAUGUGAUGGACGUCGGGGAACGGGGAUAGACGCGGGCCCGGAUAUAGGGUAGAGAGUUGGAGCUGUACGAUGGCGCGUAGGAUGAAAGAGAUUAAAAAAAAAAAGAAACAUGAUACUGCAGAUGAAAAUUGACGUGGAAGGAUGCUGCGAUAUCUUUGAGAUUAAAAACUUUAAUGGACCAAUGAAAAGACAUUGUUACAUUAUAUGGACACGCAUUAAUUUGAUGACCACCUUACGGAUCUCGCAACGUCAUAUAUAGCAAUCCGAGUUGUGUUUAUGGCUGAAUAUGUAUGCAUAACAGUCCUCCGGGCAAAGUUUUUCCUCGGUUCACCGUCAAAUAUAAAUAACAAUCAAGUGAAUUUAACGUAGAAGAUACGGAUCUUCGUAUAUUUCGCGAAACCGAUACAGACACCAUUGCCAGAGCGGAGGAUAAGCAGAAAGAAAGAGAGAUAGAUGGGACUGCGAAUAAUGGCAUUUAAUGAAACACCCUGUAGACUCGUGACCAAAGUGCCAACGUAUUCCACGAGAUGGAUACGGGGUACUUACUAGCCCAGCGGGACGUUCUCGAAUAGACGAAACCCUGGGGCUAAGGUGGCGGUGCUAUCGUCAAUGUAGAGGAUAUUCAAAGGCAGGGCGGCGCUAAGAGAUCCAUUACGACGAAGUUAACGUGCUCCGUCACAGCGAGUACGUGUAUAUCCAUAACGCAAGAUGGUUUCAGAAUCGGGUAAUGGAGAGUCUGUAUAAGGUACACCUACCUGUCUGGCAGCCAGAAUCGUCGUUUACGUUUAUCUGAACGAAGGAUAAAAUAUUCCUGUGGGUUGUACAUAGAUAAACAAAAACGUAUAUACAGUCUAUGUCUGCUAUAUAGAAGUUCCAUAUACACGUGUACGUGUAAAAGGCGGCAGUGACUGGCGUCCUGAGAGAAACGGAGUUGGCGGGGACGGGACCAUUCAUAUACGUAAGAGUAUUCGUAUCUACAUAUACGAACUAUUGGACAGUGUGAAGAGCAUAAAUUUUAGCA
Long non-coding RNA from Cephus cinctus (wheat stem sawfly), 1148 nucleotides. RefSeq lists it as uncharacterized. Lineage: Eukaryota; Metazoa; Arthropoda; Insecta; Hymenoptera; Cephidae. The record is from RefSeq and is a predicted model, not a curated record. The transcript has 5 exons.